ACUCUUUGUUGCUUUGUUUCGUUGUACUUCCUCAUUCUGACAAAUGCUAGUUUUCAAGUCUGAUUUUGCAUUUUUCUUGAAGACGGCCUACUGGAUUACGUGAGCUUUGAGCCCCGUGAAUCAGCCCCUGCCUGCAGGUGUUUCUGAGUCAGGAGGAUAAACAGGAAUAAGUAGGAGGGGAUUUUUUGAUAGGGAUCAGAAACUGGCUGAAGGCUUUUGAGGAAAAAGAAGUAAUUUAAUGGACUCAAAUGACGUAUGAUGUUUCACGCUCUGGGCUGGGGCUGUGGGGCAGUGCUCGCCUCGCGCUGCCUCCAGCCGGGCUCAGCUCCCAGCACAGCCCUCCCUCACCCUCCCCUCUCUCUGCCC
Molecule: long non-coding RNA, 366 nt
Filed under: Bos taurus (domestic cattle)
Lineage: Eukaryota; Metazoa; Chordata; Mammalia; Artiodactyla; Bovidae
Description: long non-coding RNA NONBTAT022823
Source: RNAcentral